ACGGAUGCCGCCAUACGCACCACCAGCGUCACCUUCGGCCUCGCCUCCCGAAUCUUGGACGCAAAAAAAUCAAAGAUAUCCUCAUAAUUGCAAAAGGUAAUAGUAUUAUAAUUGCAAUGCUUUAAAAGUCAUGUUAAAAUUGAAUACCUCCAUUCCGGUGAUAGGGCUCUCGGCGUGCCUCCACGCUAUGUCCCCUGCAUAGCUCUCGAACACACAAACCAUGCUAGACCUAACGUAGGGCAUCCCAUCAGCGGCGGCAAACACGCCGUCCAUAUAAUAGGCAUUCCUCGGGCAAUCGUUGAGCGGGUCGAGG
Molecule: long non-coding RNA, 313 nt
Filed under: Salvia miltiorrhiza (redroot sage)
Lineage: Eukaryota; Viridiplantae; Streptophyta; Magnoliopsida; Lamiales; Lamiaceae
Description: long non-coding RNA (SMIL_LNC008951)
Source: RNAcentral